CCCGGGAAACUGGGUCUAAUACCGGAUAUGACCACUCCAGGCAUCUGGUGGUGGUGGAAAGUUUUUCGGUUGGGGAUGGGCUCGCGGCCUAUCAGCUUGUUGGUGGGGUGAUGGCCUACCAAGGCGACGACGGGUAACCGGCCUGAGAGGGCGACCGGUCACACUGGGACUGAGACACGGCCCAGACUCCUACGGGAGGCAGCAGUGGGGAAUAUUGCGCAAUGGGCGGAAGCCUGACGCAGCGACGCCGCGUGGGGGAUGACGGCCUUCGGGUUGUAAACCCCUUUCAGCAGGGACGAAGCUAACGUGACGGUACCUGCAGAAGAAGCGCCGGCUAACUACGUGCCAGCAGCCGCGGUAAUACGUAGGGCGCAAGCGUUGUCCGGAAUUAUUGGGCGUAAAGAGCUCGUAGGCGGUUUGUCGCGUCUGUCGUGAAAGCCCACGGCUUAACCGUGGGUCUGCGGUGGAUACGGGCAGACUAGAGGCAGGUAGGGGAGAAUGGAAUUCCCGGUGUAGCGGUGAAAUGCGCAGAUAUCGGGAGGAACACCGGUGGCGAAGGCGGUUCUCUGGGCCUGUACUGACGCUGAGGAGCGAAAGCGUGGGGAGCGAACAGGAUUAGAUACCCUGGUAGUCCACGCCGUAAACGUUGGGCGCUAGGUGUGGGGUUCUUCCACGGAUUCCGCGCCGUAGCUAACGCAUUAAGCGCCCCGCCUGGGGAGUACGGCCGCAAGGCUAAAACUCAAAGGAAUUGACGGGGGCCCCGCACAAGCGGCGGAGCAUGUUGCUUAAUUCGACGCAACGCGAAGAACCUUACCAAGGCUUGACAUCGCCGGAAAUCCCGCAGAGAUGCGGGGUCCUUUUUGGGCCGGUGACAGGUGGUGCAUGGCUGUCGUCAGCUCGUGUCGUGAGAUGUUGGGUUAAGUCCCGCAACGAGCGCAACCCUCGUUCCAUGUUGCCAGCACGUAGUGGUGGGGACUCAUGGGAGACCGCCGGGGUCAACUCGGAGGAAGGUGGGGAUGACGUCAAGUCAUCAUGCCCCUUAUGUCUUGGGCUGCAAACAUGCUACAAUGGCCGGUACAGAGGGCUGCGAUACCGUGAGGUGGAGCGAAUCCCUUAAAGCCGGUCUCAGUUCGGAUCGAAGUCUGCAACUCGACUUCGUGAAGUCGGAGUCGCUAGUAAUCGCAGAUCAGCAACGCUGCGGUGAAUACGUUCCCGG
RNAcentral lists this ribosomal RNA (1216 nucleotides) under Actinomadura sp. Its description in RNAcentral is "bacterial SSU rRNA". It matches the Rfam family "Bacterial small subunit ribosomal RNA", at positions 148 to 1377 of the family's 1533-position model. The record is from RNAcentral. Lineage: Bacteria; Bacillati; Actinomycetota; Actinomycetes; Streptosporangiales; Thermomonosporaceae.